Molecule: ribosomal RNA, 419 nt
Filed under: uncultured bacterium
Lineage: Bacteria
Description: bacterial SSU rRNA
Rfam family: Bacterial small subunit ribosomal RNA
Source: RNAcentral
UGAGGAGUAUUGCACAAUGGGCGCAAGCCUGAUGCAGCGACGCCGCGUGUGGGAUGAAGGGGCUACGCCUCGUAAACCACUGUAGCCCGGGACGAAAAACGCCUUAGAGGCGUUAGACGGUACCGGGAAAGUAAGGGUCGGCUAACUACGUGCCAGCAGCCGCGGUAAUACGUAGGACCCAAGCGGUGUCCGGAUUUACUGGGUGUAAAGGGUGCGCAGGCGGAUGGGUAAGUCAGGGGUGAAAUCUCCGGGCUUAACCCGGAAACUGGCGUUGAUACUAUUUGUCUUGAAUAUUGUGGAGGUAAGCGGAAUAUGUCAUGUAGCGGUGAAAUGCUUAGAUAUGACAUAGAACACCAAUUGCGAAGGCAGCUUACUACACAAUCAUUGACGCUGAGGCACGAAAGCGUGGGGAUCAAACA